This 228-nucleotide ribosomal RNA is filed under the name uncultured fungus. Its description in RNAcentral is "partial 18S ribosomal RNA". It matches the Rfam family "Eukaryotic small subunit ribosomal RNA", at positions 40 to 274 of the family's 1831-position model. The record is from RNAcentral. Lineage: Eukaryota; Fungi.
AAGAUUAAGCCAUGCAUGUCUAAGUAUAAGCAACUAUACAGUGAAACUGCGAAUGGCUCAUUAAAUCAGUUAUCGUUUAUUUGAUAGUACCUUACUACUUGGAUAACCGUGGUAAUUCUAGAGCUAAUACAUGCUAAAAAUCCCGACCUCUGGAAGGGAUGUAUUUAUUAGAUAAAAACCAAUGCCUUCGGGCUCCUUGGUGAUUCAUGAUAACUUAACGAAUCGCAU